CUUUCAGGAAGUAAGCAAGCAGCUGCUCUGAGUCCAUGAAGGAUACAGGUUUCAAUUUCAACAGGGACAACAUGGGUUUGACAUAAAUGGCAACUGUCUAAAUCUAGAAGUUUUUCUUAACUGGGUCUGAAAAGAGCAGUAGUGACUUGGUUCCAAGAUACCUGAUCAGCCAUGAAGAGAACAGAAGUCCUUGUUGAGAAGGCCAAGACAAUGUGAGUGAAUGAACAUGGAGACAUUGUGGAGACGGAAUUAAGAGAGUUAAAUGGAGUUGAACUCAGGGCCUCGAGUUUACCAGGCAGGUGCUAUGCUGCUGACCUGAGCUAAAUCCCCAGCCCUAUGUUCUUCUUUUGGAUUAGAAGCAUUGGAAUGGCUGUAAAGGAGAGAUGAUCAAUGAAACAGAGGAUGUCAAGGACAGGGCUGACAUUUCCUUAUAGAAUGUUAUCUAAGGGCCCCCCUGGGAUGCAGCUGCCCCCAGAACUUGUAAUGUGACUCUUCAGGAGGAAAGAGUGCUUCCAGUGGGCUGGAUACCUUUAAGGUAAGAAAUAUGGGCAUAAACUGAAGGCAUAAAAGGAAUUUGGCAAAUAUGAUGGUGUGGUAACCCACUGGAGUAAAAGUAAAAAAUUAA
Molecule: long non-coding RNA, 625 nt
Filed under: Heterocephalus glaber (naked mole-rat)
Lineage: Eukaryota; Metazoa; Chordata; Mammalia; Rodentia; Bathyergidae
Description: lncRNA (ENSHGLG00000038045.1)
Source: RNAcentral